CAAUCACUCGAUCAAUCACCUGAUCAAUUGAUCAAUGUCUAUACAGCAACUCUAAUAUUAUAUUAAACAAAUAAUACAAAUGACUAUCUGUCUGUCAUUCUAUCUAUCUAUCUAUCUAUCUAUCCAUCCAUCCAUCACGCCAAACUUUAAAUCUCUCUUUAAAUAACCUUCAGACUUUUUCCGAAUUUUUAAACAUGCUAACAUUCAAUGCUCAUUUUGACAACCUUUCCUAUUUUUUCUUUUAAUUGUUGAGCUUAGUGGGCCUGUAAAUUAUUCAUGCAGUGAAUUAUCUGAAAGACUUUCAUUCAACAGAACAAAACAUCAAUUGAAUCAAUUCACACAGCAAAAAAAAAAAAAAAAAAAUGGUUUGGGAAACCAAAAAUCAAACCAUCCAUUAUCUCUGUAAAAUUUUAGAUAACAAGAAGCAUGCUUGCUGAAAAGCAGAAGCGGCGAGCAGGAAAGGGAAGUGAAAGUUUGUCAUGCGUUGGACGGUUUGGACUCUCACUUCUCACCUCCAUUUACUGCCCUUUCGUUCAGCUUGCAAGAAACGCGGACCUAAACCACCAGGCGCGACCCCUGUGGAGGUACAAUUAUAGGAAAAGCGCAUGUGCUUGACGAGUAAACGGGCGAGGCUCUUUGUGCAAUGAUGGCCAGUUUUUUCUCCCUUUCGAAUUAGUCCGUCAUUAGACCCUCUGUGACUAGAGAAAAACACUGCACAAGAAAAAGAUGAAUGUGUUUUCAAAACAGAGGGAAAACAGACAAAUGGAAGGGGUGGUGAUAAAGAAUGUCAUUCAAGCUGUGUGGUGUGUGGCCACACAUUCAGACUGAGUUUGAGUGGUGCGCGAACCGUCGGGGGUCCCUUUCACAGGUGAAGGCCCCCUGUUGGGACCCCCAUUAUGUCUGUGUCUGCAAAUGGAGAACAAUAUACACAAAGCCGACAAAAGAGAUGGCAGAUAGGAAGUGUCAAACAAGGACAGGGGUUUAAAGAGCUGCCGAUUUUCAAACUGCCAUCUCGAUGGGUGCUAAUUACCGCAGGAAGAGACGAGGGAUGUAAAGACAGAUGCCACUUUUAUGCAGAGAUGCUCAUUUAGACUGAAUGAACGCUAAACCUACUAGUAUUAACAGAGCCAGCGAGACUGGCAUGGUCAAUGAGUGUGUGCUUGUCUGUGUUAUCUCAAUCCAGUGUUUUCUUUUCUUUGUUUCGUGUUUGUUUCAUUAAUGCAGGUCCAUAGUCGUAAGUGUGAAUUGACCCGAUCCAGCCCAAAACUCCCAUGGCCCUUGUACACACUCGACUAAAUCGGAAGAUACUGCACUUCCUUCCAUCUACUGUCUAUUGAUUCAGAUAUUGCCAUGUUGUCUGCCAGGGCUCUUAGGCCUCUGAGCGAGAAGUGUGUUUUUAUGUCCUGUCUUGAGAACAGACACUCGAUAAUUGUGAUUAGAUUACAUUAAAUUAACAUACCUUGUCAGUAUCUGCUUUGCCUCUUGCUUUGUAGACUAUCGCCAUUCAUAUUUAUGUUUUUUUAUACAUUUGAAAUCUAUUUUAUUUUCUACUUUAUUUCUUACAUAUCUGUUAUGAUUAGCUAUUUUGUGAUUAUUUUGAAGUCCUUUUAUGUAAAUCACUUUAUAUUACUUUUGUGCAGCCUAUGAAAUGUAGUAGCCUAUAUGAAUAAACUUUGCCUUUAAAAUCUUGAAUAAAGUCCUUGUUAACAGCUUCGAAGUUAGGUGUGAAAUUCGUUGCAGAAUCAAUCCAGUCAUAAGCUUUAUGUCGAAUGUCACGAACAAACAAACAGGAUAAUAGGUCUUGUCACUUUGGCUUGUCGGAGAAAGUGUUCACAGCAGUAUGGAUGGCGAUAUUGACUUUUAAAGUAAUCAGCUAACCUAGUUUUUGUUGAUGCCAUUUUAUUCAAUUUUAAUAUCCAAAAGUUAAUAAGAAUAAAAAACUUUUAGAUAUCAAUCUGCAUGCGAUGGACGUUGGUUAUGCUCAUAUUUGUUUGCACCUUUGAAGUCAUCUUAAGUAGCUAAAACAGCUUUAUAUUUAAUGAAGCGCAUACAAAAGACCUGAACCGGAAGCGAUGCAACCCGUUUUACAGAAUAAGGAAGUUUGUUGCACAUAACCCCCUUCCCUAGGAAUCCGUGCGAUCAUAAGUUUUGGUUGAGAGAGAAAUGGUUCCCAAUGCAGAUUUCGCUCAUGUUCACGCGAAAUCGUCUCAUUCACCAACAGGUUUGAAAAUGACUUCUGUGUGGACCUUCUUCCUUGCAAAAUCUCUUCGAAAUUUCUCGAAUGUGACCGCAGCUUUAAAUUGUUAUUUUUAAAUGCUGGUAACCCUUAUACUAUCAUGCCAUUAUUGUUUUCACGCAACCAAACAAAAAGUAUUAUUUAUUAUAAUUUCAAAAAUGCACCGUUUCCUGUUGGUUGCGCGCUCUUUUGAACGGCCUGUUUCACACAGAGUCAUUUCUACAAGAUGGCGUCAAGCGUUUCUGCAGCAAACAGAAGAUAAUUUGAUUUCCGGUUCGUUUUUUGCGAUUUAAUAACGGUCAAAUUCAUGAUUAAUUUACGCGGAACUGAACCCAAAGCAUAUCUAUAAAACACUCAAGUCAACUGAAUUCAGUCAGAUUUACCGACUAGAAAGUGCUGUUUUGUGCCUGUCCCUGCGUGUGGCAUUGAUGUCUUGUUUCAAAUAACAGGCAGAGAGAGAGAGAGAGAACGCUACUGAGCAUGUGCAGAACCUCAUCUCUUCGCGCCAGACGUUACGCUACUUUACAUGCUGUCUGUAGAAGAGAACAAUGCACAAGGAAAGCAUUCGUCAGGUCACCAGCUCAGCAGCGACGUAGAGCAAGACAUGAUUGUCAAAUCCUUCGACAGUAGUCUGGAUCGACUCCUAAAAGUUUAUCGUGUCCAUCCUCGCUAGAUGAAGUCGGUGUGGAUGACGAUGUCCCCGGUGUGUCGGUGGAACUCUGCACAGGUGACCGGUUCCCCACUUCCGUCCGGC
Molecule: long non-coding RNA, 2990 nt
Organism: Ctenopharyngodon idella (grass carp)
Lineage: Eukaryota; Metazoa; Chordata; Actinopteri; Cypriniformes; Xenocyprididae
Exons: 4
Source: RefSeq, a predicted model, not a curated record